GUCCACGCCCUAAACGAUGGAUGCUAGGCGUAGGAGGUAUCGACCCCUCCUGUGCCGCAGCUAACGCACUAAGCAUCCCGCCUGGGGACUACGGCCGCAAGGUUGAAACUCAAAUGAAUUGACGGGGACCCCGCACAAGCGGUGGAGCAUGUGGAUUAAUUCGAUACUAACCGAAGAACCUUACCCAGGUUUGACAUCGAGGGUAAGCCUAUGAAAGUAGGCCCUCUCCCACAAGGAGACCCAAAGACAGAUGUUGCAUGGCUGUCGU
Molecule: ribosomal RNA, 268 nt
Filed under: uncultured bacterium
Lineage: Bacteria
Description: partial 16S ribosomal RNA
Rfam family: Bacterial small subunit ribosomal RNA
Source: RNAcentral